Molecule: ribosomal RNA, 475 nt
Filed under: uncultured bacterium
Lineage: Bacteria
Description: bacterial SSU rRNA
Rfam family: Bacterial small subunit ribosomal RNA
Source: RNAcentral
AACGAACGCUGGCGGCAUGCCUAACACAUGCAAGUCGAACGAGACCUUCGGGUCUAGUGGCGCACGGUGCGUAACGCGUGGGAACCUGCCUUUAGGUUCGGAAUAACUCAGAGAAAUUUGAGCUAAUACCGGAUAAUGUCUUCGGACCAAAGAUUUAUCGCCUUUAGAUGGGCCCGCGUUGGAUUAGCUAGUAGGUGAGGUAAUGGCUCACCUAGGCGAUGAUCCGUAACUGGUCUGAGAGGAUGAUCAGUCACACUGGAACUGAGACACGGUCCAGACUCUACGGGAGGCAGCAGUGGGAAUAUUGGACAAUGGGCGAAAGCCUGAUCCAGCCAUGCCGCGUGUGGGAAGAAGGUCUUCGGAUUGUAAAGCACUUUAAGUUGGGAGAAGGGCAGUAAGUUAAUACCUUGCUGUUUGACGUUACCAACAGAAUAAGUACCGGCUAACUUCGUGCCAGCAGCCGCGGUAAUGUGAC